UUCCACCGGGAGAGCAAUUUCUAGAUGCUAAAUUGAAAUGUAUUGUCCAGUGUCUUGCGAUGUCAUUCUUUCAUUAUUCAAGGUAUGUGUCUCACAAGGAAAUAGAAAAUCCUGAAUUUUGCAUGUGUGAUUGGUUCAACAACCUCAACCUCUGCACCUCACUGUCAACCACAUGCAAGCUUCCUCCUUGCUUUAGGUGAGAGCAUUUAUUUCAUCGCCUUUUUAGCUUGCUCAGAUUGCAAGUUUGAUAGGUUUCCCCAACCCGGGUUAGGAACCCCUUUGAUUUUGGUUCCUUGCUACAACUCUGUAUGCAAUUUUGUUUCUCUGUCACAGUUUGAUCGAUCCAUUCUUAGCUACAAAUGCUUAUUUAUAAACAGAUGGAUACAAGGUUCAUUGUAGUCUUGCAGUUUGGAAUACCAAAAAAAAUCAUUUGUUUGAGUGGUAUAGCGUUUAGAUGUCAUUUUCUUUUUUGCUGUUUUUUAUCGCCUUUUAUUGUCGUGCUAUGAGUUGAUAUGAAUCAGCUAGCUAUUGUCUAAUUGUUGAAAUACCACCCUUUCGAGCAGCCCUUGAACACAGAACAAGGAAACGAGGAUAUUUCGGAGUCCCAGUUUCACUGCCUUCGUGGACGCUGGAGCCACUGCCACCUUUACUAUGCAUUGUGUGGCGAUAAACACAUGACCAGCAAGGGGCCCUGCCCCCCUCCCAAUACUAUGGAUUUGUUCAUAAUAAACACAUGAACAGUGCAGCAUUUGACUUGUUUUCUGCUCCAACCGGCCCUCCCCAACAUCCUAAUCCCACUAAUCCCACCUCCGCCACUGCAGGCAUGCCGGCCUUUUCUUAAUUGCUAUACUUUUGAGGACGCAUCACUAAAAAAACUAAAAGAGGUUUCAUGGCAAUGAUGGAGUGCUACCAAAUUAUGUUCCAAGAAAAAUGAUUUCUGCCUCAACUUGACUACAUGCAUGUUGAAUUGUUGACCCGAUUUGACGGACUAUAUAAGUGCUCUUUUCCUUGGGAAUUUGAAAGCACGCCCCUUCUAAGCAUCGCACAAUAUAUAGGCUUAUAUAUGUGGUACCAGUCAUUGGUACAAGCAUGUGUGCAUUACACCAGAAAAGGGGUUUCAAACUCGCAGAGCAUAUUGAAGGUGGUACAAAUCAUUGCAGAGUGAAUUACAAGUAGCUAUAUGUGGAUUGGAAUUUACUGAAGCUUUGCAUAUUCAAAUUUUUAAGUCGAAUGAGACGUGCAUUGCACGUGCAAGCUUACUAGUACAAGAAAAAAAAACCACAAUAGCAACCGCACGCAAACAAAUGCCAGCUCACCGCACUCUGCUGCGAACAUGGGCCUCGCCUUAUCCGUUUUUUCUACGUCAAGAAACACCCUAGCGGGAGCUCCUAUGUGCCGCGUUUUGCGGCUAAUUGCCUGCACGACGUACAGGAGCAGUGAGACUGGGCCGGCCCAGGCACCGGCGAACUGUGUUUACAUCAGUAAAAAUCGCGAAAACAAAAGGUGACGAAGUGAGGAAUCGAACUUGUGACGUCCAUCUCCUCAACGAGUCAUACUAGUCACUGGAUCAAACUGUUACUUGUGAUUCAAAGCGCAUCGGGACCUUAUUUAAGACUUAAAGUUGCAGGAUAUUCCAUGUUGCAUGCUA
Molecule: long non-coding RNA, 1648 nt
Organism: Triticum aestivum (bread wheat)
Lineage: Eukaryota; Viridiplantae; Streptophyta; Magnoliopsida; Poales; Poaceae
Exons: 5
Source: RefSeq, a predicted model, not a curated record